GGCAGGCAUGUGGGCAGUCGCUCAGGCAGGGGAGGGAGAAAUGUAGGCCAUGUCAGCAGACACAACAGAUGUCACGCACAGAUUACCUGCCAGGUCAACUUUUGGGAAGUUUUGCUGUGGGACAAAUGCGGCAGCCAGCCAGCCAGCCAGCUCUGUGAUGUGACGCGAACACAAGGGAGGUCAGGGCCAUGUGGAGUUAGCAGUGUGCCCCUGCAGUCCUGCUUAGAGGGGGUCCAGUGGCUGAUGACAUCCAUUUUCAAACAUGGGGGAGGAAGAACCUUCCCAGAACCACAGCUCCCAUCAAUUAACAGAUUCCAGCCUGCAACAGAACUCACGCUCCCUCUCCCCCUCUCUCCCUCUCCC
This is a long non-coding RNA of Sardina pilchardus (European sardine), 363 nucleotides long. RefSeq lists it as uncharacterized. Lineage: Eukaryota; Metazoa; Chordata; Actinopteri; Clupeiformes; Clupeidae. The transcript is spliced from 3 exons. The record is from RefSeq and is a predicted model, not a curated record.